RNAcentral lists this ribosomal RNA (1458 nucleotides) under uncultured organism. RNAcentral's name for it is "SSU rRNA". It matches the Rfam family "Bacterial small subunit ribosomal RNA". The record is from RNAcentral.
GAUGAACGCUAGCUACAGGCUUAACACAUGCAAGUCGAGGGGCAGCAUGGUCUUAGCUUGCUAAGGCCGAUGGCGACCGGCGCACGGGUGAGUAACACGUAUCCAACCUGCCGUCUACUCUUGGACAGCCUUCUGAAAGGAAGAUUAAUACAAGAUGGCAUCAUGAGUCCGCAUGUUCACAUGAUUAAAGGUAUUCCGGUAGACGAUGGGGAUGCGUUCCAUUAGAUAGUAGGCGGGGUAACGGCCCACCUAGUCUUCGAUGGAUAGGGGUUCUGAGAGGAAGGUCCCCCACAUUGGAACUGAGACACGGUCCAAACUCCUACGGGAGGCAGCAGUGAGGAAUAUUGGUCAAUGGGCGCAGGCCUGAACCAGCCAAGUAGCGUGAAGGAUGACUGCCCUAUGGGUUGUAAACUUCUUUUAUAAAGGAAUAAAGUCGGGUAUGGAUACCCGUUUGCAUGUACUUUAUGAAUAAGGAUCGGCUAACUCCGUGCCAGCAGCCGCGGUAAUACGGAGGAUCCGAGCGUUAUCCGGAUUUAUUGGGUUUAAAGGGAGCGUAGAUGGAUGUUUAAGUCAGUUGUGAAAGUUUGCGGCUCAACCGUAAAAUUGCAGUUGAUACUGGAUAUCUUGAGUGCAGUUGAGGCAGGCGGAAUUCGUGGUGUAGCGGUGAAAUGCUUAGAUAUCACGAAGAACUCCGAUUGCGAAGGCAGCCUGCUAAGCUGCAACUGACAUUGAGGCUCGAAAGUGUGGGUAUCAAACAGGAUUAGAUACCCUGGUAGUCCACACGGUAAACGAUGAAUACUCGCUGUUUGCGAUAUACGGCAAGCGGCCAAGCGAAAGCGUUAAGUAUUCCACCUGGGGAGUACGCCGGCAACGGUGAAACUCAAAGGAAUUGACGGGGGCCCGCACAAGCGGAGGAACAUGUGGUUUAAUUCGAUGAUACGCGAGGAACCUUACCCGGGCUUAAAUUGCAGAUGAAUUACGGUGAAAGCCGUAAGCCGCAAGGCAUCUGUGAAGGUGCUGCAUGGUUGUCGUCAGCUCGUGCCGUGAGGUGUCGGCUUAAGUGCCAUAACGAGCGCAACCCUUGUUGUCAGUUACUAACAGGUUCCGCUGAGGACUCUGACAAGACUGCCAUCGUAAGAUGUGAGGAAGGUGGGGAUGACGUCAAAUCAGCACGGCCCUUACGUCCGGGGCUACACACGUGUUACAAUGGGGGGUACAGAGGGCCGCUACCACGCGAGUGGAUGCCAAUCCCAAAAACCUCUCUCAGUUCGGACUGGAGUCUGCAACCCGACUCCACGAAGCUGGAUUCGCUAGUAAUCGCGCAUCAGCCACGGCGCGGUGAAUACGUUCCCGGGCCUUGUACACACCGCCCGUCAAGCCAUGGGAGCCGGGGGUACCUGAAGUGCGUAACCGCGAGGAGCGCCCUAGGGUAAAACUGGUGACUGGGGCUAAGUCGUA